RNAcentral lists this long non-coding RNA (1470 nucleotides) under Marmota monax (woodchuck). The record is from RNAcentral. Lineage: Eukaryota; Metazoa; Chordata; Mammalia; Rodentia; Sciuridae.
AUAUAGUGAGGACCUGCUUUCUUUUCUAUGGAGCAAGCGAUUAAGGAAAAUGUAAUUGCUGAGGGCAAUUAUUUAGAGAUUUUCAAUUUAGAAGCAAGAUAUGAAACCUUGUUUCUGAAUCCUGAAGUUAAAAUUGACUGUACCACUUGUCCUUUUGGAAUCCCUCACAUUCCCCAUAAAGGAGAGCAGUAGUAACCUGACCACACUAGAACUGCGGGGAGAGCAACCAUGGCUGACCCCAUAGAGCAGUGUUUCAAUGAGUGUCAGCCUGGAUCAAAACCAUAGGGAAAGCCUGUUUUAAGAAAGAAUAUUUUAAAAGCAAAUAUCUGAGGCUGGUUCCUGGGCCAUGUCCUAUACCAGUGAAUCAGGUAUAGGGUCUGAAAAUAGGCAUUUUAAAGAAGAUCACCAGGGCUUGCCCCAUGUGUGAGGCCCUGGGUUCAUUCACCAGCACUGCCAACAAAGAGGGCUGGGGGAGCUCCAGAUGAUGCACACAUUAAAGUUUGAGAACCAGUAGGAAAAACAGAGUUACUUUUUUAGCUACACACAGAAGUCUAGUCUACACACUAAUCUUAAAAGUCCUAUGGUGAUUCUGAUUCUGCCCAAGUGGUAAGAACCACUGCCCUAGAGCUUCUUUCCAGCUGCCUGUGGCAUUGUUGGCUGCAUUUGCUGAUACUGCUCCAACCCCAACCCCAUGCCCAAUUAGUGGUUACUGAUCUCACUCUAUAUCAGUAGACAAGCGACUAAUAACCUUUAUCUAUGAAUUUCUCUCAGUGUCAUGCUAUAGAGUUAAGGUACUCAUGACACUCCAGAACUCUUGUGUAUCUUGGUCUGGUCAUACAGCCUGUCUUGUUCCAGGAAUGGCUUAGGUUAUGCAGCCCUGGGAGGGACCUCUUAGAGUAACUGGAGUUAUAAGACCUGGUUACCCAGGAUGUAGACUCCUGGAUUAGUCUGGGAGUGACUAGGAAUUACCCAGAUCCAGAACCCUUGGAAUGACUUAAGAGUUGAUGUGCUGAGAAAAACGUAAAUAGAUAAUGAAUAUCAAAAAUCAGACUGGUAGUUGCCAGGGCGUACAGAGUGAUUAGUGGAAUUGCCCUUGACUUUGAUUCUCAGCAACCACGGUACAAGGGAGGAAUGUAGGAAUAGUUCCUCUCUCACAUACUGGUUAGUUUUGUAUUUCACAAUCUUGGACCCAGAACUCAGAUGUUGAGACUUCAGCUCAAGUUUUGAAUACCUUUGCUCACCGCCCCCAGAGAUAAUGGAGUGUCUCUAAAGGCAAAAAGCCAGGCCAAGAGUUCCGAGAAUCACAAGCAUAUCCUCAGUAUUAAGGGUUUGGCUGAAGUCUAAGAAAACGAACUGUUUUAUUAUCAUAUCAUCUCAAUUAAUAUGCUGAGAACUUGAGUUCAUGUAAUUGAGCAUUAUCAUGAUAAUCAGAGCCUGAUUUAAAAUUCUUUUAGGCCAAAUAUAAAAGAC